RNAcentral lists this ribosomal RNA (568 nucleotides) under uncultured bacterium. RNAcentral describes it as "partial 16S ribosomal RNA". It matches the Rfam family "Bacterial small subunit ribosomal RNA", at positions 355 to 914 of the family's 1533-position model. The record is from RNAcentral.
UGGGGAAUUUUGGACAAUGGGCGAAAGCCUGAUCCAGCAAUGCCGCGUGUGUGAAGAAGGCCUUCGGGUUGUAAAGCACUUUUGUCCGGAAAGAAAUCCUUGGCUCUAAUACAGUCGGGGGAUGACGGUACCGGAAGAAUAAGCACCGGCUAACUACGUGCCAGCAGCCGCGGUAAUACGUAGGGUGCAAGCGCUAAUCGGAAUUACUGGGCGUAAAGCGUGCGCAGGCGGUUUGCUAAGACCGAUGUGAAAUCCCCGGGCUCAACCUGGGAACUGCAUUGGUGACUGGCAGGCUAGAGUAUGGCAGAGGGGGGUAGAAUUCCACGUGUAGCAGUGAAAUGCGUAGAGAUGUGGAGGAAUACCGAUGGCGAAGGCAGCCCCCUGGGCCAAAUACUGACGCUCAUGCACGAAAGCGUGGGGAGCAAAACAGGAUUAGAUACCCUGGUAGUCCACGCCCUAAACGAUGUCAACUAGUUGUUGGGGAUUCAUUUCCUUAGUAACGUAGCUAACGCGUGAAGUUGACCGCCUGGGGAGUACGGUCGCAAGAUUAAAACUCAAAGGAAUUGAC